AAAGCAGCCAGCGUUAACAUGUGGUCCCCUCCCAUCUCCCCUUAGCAGGGUGAGCGAGGGCGCCCUGUUAGCACGCCCAGCUGGAAACCACCUGGCACCGAACACAAAUCACCUUGAUCCUGCCACCUGAUCCGCCAGCUCAGAGCCUAAGGGAUCAGGUGCCACAGUAUAGGCCAGCAAAGGCAGGGUCCAGCUCCUGCACGGUGCGGCGGUGGCUCUUCUCUGCCAGCAGCAGCUGCCCCAGCAUGCGACGGGGCUUCUGGUAGGGUUCCUGGUUCGGAGGGCCCUUGGACCCGGAGAUCAGGCCAUCCCUCUGCAGGGCCUGCAGGGCCGAGCCAGGCUCCGGGGAGCCGUAGUGGGACUCCAGUCCUUCGGGACG
Gadus macrocephalus (Pacific cod) is the source of this 379-nucleotide long non-coding RNA. RefSeq lists it as uncharacterized. The transcript has 3 exons. The record is from RefSeq and is a predicted model, not a curated record. NCBI's taxonomy places the organism in Eukaryota, Metazoa, Chordata, Actinopteri, Gadiformes, Gadidae.